CUUUUAAACAGUGUGCAAAUUUGUGUGUGCGUUUCUAACGUGAGCUGGUCAUUGGAAGAAUUCCGAAAAAAUCUGAAAGGAACUUUAAUCUUUGGGAUUUUUGAUUAUUUCGAUAGACAAUAAAAAGAGGCAUACAUUGUUCUGCUAAAAGACCUAUUAAAUAACAAAAUGGAUUUCAUUUUUAACAAUUUGAUUCGAAUUCUCGCUAACUUGACAAUCUGGGAGUCAUUGUUUGCCGAGCUUCAGCAACACGAAAUAUUUGAACUAGAGGAUAGUCUUGCCGACAAUAGUUUUACCGAAAGUGAAUCUUUCGAAGGAAACGAAAUGAUCGGAGUAGAGGAUGGACUUGAUGACAAUAGUUAUACCGAAAGUGAAUCUUACGAAGACGAAAUGGAACUAGAUAGUCUUGGUGACAGUAUUUUUACCGAAAGUGAAGACGACGAAAUUGUCGAACAAGGGCAUAGUUUUGAGAACAAUUAUUAUACCGAUAGUGACUAUACCUGUAGUGACGAUGAUAACAUUGAAGAUUGGUUGUGUCGUUUUUAAUACGAAACCAGAUCUUAUAUA
Molecule: long non-coding RNA, 567 nt
Organism: Drosophila gunungcola (fruit fly)
Lineage: Eukaryota; Metazoa; Arthropoda; Insecta; Diptera; Drosophilidae
Exons: 3
Source: RefSeq, a predicted model, not a curated record